UACGGAGGGUGCAAGCGUUAUCCGGAUUCCCUGGGUUUAAAGGGUGCGUAGGCGGGUUGAUAAGUCCGUGGUGAAAUCCCCAAGCUUAACUUGGGAACUGCCAUGGAUACUAUUGAUCUUGAAUAUCGUGGAGGUAAGCGGAAUAUGUCAUGUAGCGGUGAAAUGCUUAGAUAUGACAUGGAACACCAAUUGCGUAGGCAGCUUACUACACGAUCAUUGACGCUGAGGCACGAAAGCGUGGGGAGCAAAAAGG
This 253-nucleotide ribosomal RNA is filed under the name uncultured bacterium. RNAcentral's name for it is "partial 16S ribosomal RNA". It matches the Rfam family "Bacterial small subunit ribosomal RNA", at positions 524 to 776 of the family's 1533-position model. The record is from RNAcentral.